UGAUUUACAUUUGAGUGAGUGGCGAACUGGUGAGUAACACGUGGGAAACCUGCCCAGAAGCGGGGGAUAACACCUGGAAACAGAUGCUAAUACCGCAUAACAACUUGGACCGCAUGGUCCGAGUUUGAAAGAUGGCUUCGGCUAUCACUUUUGGAUGGUCCCGCGGCGUAUUAGCUAGAUGGUGGGGUAACGGCUCACCAUGGCAAUGAUACGUAGCCGACCUGAGAGGGUAAUCGGCCACAUUGGGACUGAGACACGGCCCAAACUCCUACGGGAGGCAGCAGUAGGGAAUCUUCCACAAUGGACGAAAGUCUGAUGGAGCAACGCCGCGUGAGUGAAGAAGGGUUUCGGCUCGUAAAACUCUGUUGUUAAAGAAGAACAUAUCUGAGAGUAACUGUUCAGGUAUUGACGGUAUUUAACCAGAAAGCCACGGCUAACUACGUGCCAGCAGCCGCGGUAAUACGUAGGUGGCAAGCGUUGUCCGGAUUUAUUGGGCGUAAAGCGAGCGCAGGCGGUUUUUUAAGUCUGAUGUGAAAGCCUUCGGCUCAACCGAAGAAGUGCAUCGGAAACUGGGAAACUUGAGUGCAGAAGAGGACAGUGGAACUCCAUGUGUAGCGGUGAAAUGCGUAGAUAUAUGGAAGAACACCAGUGGCGAAGGCGGCUGUCUGGUCUGUAACUGACGCUGAGGCUCGAAAGUAUGGGUAGCAAACAGGAUUAGAUACCCUGGUAGUCCAUACCGUAAACGAUGAAUGCUAAGUGUUGGAGGGUUUCCGCCCUUCAGUGCUGCAGCUAACGCAUUAAG
RNAcentral lists this ribosomal RNA (802 nucleotides) under Lactiplantibacillus plantarum. RNAcentral's name for it is "bacterial SSU rRNA". It matches the Rfam family "Bacterial small subunit ribosomal RNA", at positions 76 to 864 of the family's 1533-position model. The record is from RNAcentral. Lineage: Bacteria; Bacillati; Bacillota; Bacilli; Lactobacillales; Lactobacillaceae.